AGUCGAGCGAGAAGACGUAGCAAUACGUUUGUAAAGCGGCGAACGGGUGAGGAAUACAUGGGUAACCUACCCUCGAGUGGGGAAUAACUAGCCGAAAGGUUAGCUAAUACCGCGUACGCUCCUUGGACUUCGGUUCAGGGAGGAAAGCGAGGCCGUGGGUCUCGCGCUCUUGGAUGGGCUCAUGUCCUAUCAGCUUGUUGGUGAGGUAACGGCUCACCAAGGCUUCGACGGGUAGCUGGUCUGAGAGGACGAUCAGCCACACUGGCACUGCGACACGGGCCAGACUCCUACGGGAGGCAGCAGUAAGGAAUAUUGCGCAAUGGGCGAAAGCCUGACGCAGCGACGCCGCGUGGGGGAUGAAGGUCUUCGGAUUGUAAACCCCUUUCGGGAGGGAAGAUGGAGCGAGCAAUCGUUCGGACGGUACCUCCAGAAGCAGCCACGGCUAACUUCGUGCCAGCAGCCGCGGUAAUACGAAGGUGGCAAGCGUUGUUCGGAUUUACUGGGCGUACAGGGAGCGUAGGCGGUUCGGUAAGCCCUCUGUGAAAUCUCCAGGCUUAACCUGGAACAGUCGGAGGGGACUGCCGGGCUAGAGGACGGGAGAGGA
RNAcentral lists this ribosomal RNA (604 nucleotides) under uncultured bacterium. Its description in RNAcentral is "bacterial SSU rRNA". It matches the Rfam family "Bacterial small subunit ribosomal RNA", at positions 60 to 658 of the family's 1533-position model. The record is from RNAcentral.